GGGAGCAUAGCUCAGCUGGGAGAGCACUUGCCUUACAAGCAAGGGGUCACAGGUUCAAGCCCUGUUGCUCCCACCA
Molecule: transfer RNA, 76 nt
Filed under: Clostridiales bacterium
Lineage: Bacteria; Bacillati; Bacillota; Clostridia; Eubacteriales
Description: tRNA-Val
Rfam family: tRNA
About the family: Transfer RNA (tRNA) molecules are approximately 80 nucleotides in length. Their secondary structure includes four short double-helical elements and three loops (D, anti-codon, and T loops).
Source: RNAcentral